AAUCCAACGUUUCGUGAUUAACUCCUUACUUGGUAGGACAACCAAAUUAAAACGAUUUGUUUCUUCUGUGUUAGGUAAUUUAACACGUGUCAGAAUAAAUUAAAUUAAAUAUGUGGGAUCGGUGAGUGAGUGCAAAUGUUAUAAUUGAUGAGUGAGUAAAAGACACGAUGUUUAUUAUCACGAACAAUGUUUAUUAAGAAGUCUUGAAGAAGUAUAGUUAAGAAGUAUUGUAGAGAAGAAUAGUUAAGAACUGUAUUAAGAACUGUAGUGUUUGAAGUAAUGUCAAGAACUCUCCUUCCUAAACCCUUGUCACCCACCAGCAACCCUUCAGGUUGAUGGGUGGUGACAAGAAAUUUGGAAGUAGGAAGAAAGUAAUAGAUUGGAUUGGUAGAAGAAAGUGUAUGACAUUGAAGAGAGGGAAAGCUGACCAUUGGAUUCUGGGAAUCCGAGUCGUGCCAAACCGUCCGACUCGGGGAUUAGGUUUUUCAAGGUAAUAAAAGAUAUUAGGAAAUUUGGGAAUUUUGGAUGAAGAAUUACGGUAUACAAUAAAGAUGAAGAAAGUUAUAAAGUUUUGAAAUACAGAAAUAA
Long non-coding RNA from Dalotia coriaria, 588 nucleotides. RefSeq lists it as uncharacterized. The record is from RefSeq and is a predicted model, not a curated record. NCBI's taxonomy places the organism in Eukaryota, Metazoa, Arthropoda, Insecta, Coleoptera, Staphylinidae. The transcript has 2 exons.